Molecule: long non-coding RNA, 306 nt
Organism: Dromiciops gliroides (monito del monte)
Lineage: Eukaryota; Metazoa; Chordata; Mammalia; Microbiotheria; Microbiotheriidae
Exons: 3
Source: RefSeq, a predicted model, not a curated record
GAUGCAGAGAAAUGGAGCACAGGGAAGCCAAAUGAUUUGUUCAGAGUCACACAGGGCAGGUGGAUGGAGUAUAUUUGGAAUAUCACUGUGCUAUAAGAAAUGACGAGCUGGUUGAGUUAGAAGAACAUGAAAAGACUUGGACAAGUGAAAGAAGAUGCUAUAUACCUCCAGAGAAAGAAUAGUCAAAAGGCAAGGUUCUUCCCCGGGCCCUCCUCCAUAGUGGCUCCUGCGAACCAAGGAAGGAGGUGGAGAACCUGCGCAAGCUCUGCCCAAACAUGGCGCUGCUGAGGGCUCCGCAACGACCGC